RNAcentral lists this ribosomal RNA (1641 nucleotides) under Escherichia coli. RNAcentral describes it as "partial 23S ribosomal RNA". It matches the Rfam family "Bacterial large subunit ribosomal RNA", at positions 63 to 1744 of the family's 2925-position model. Lineage: Bacteria; Pseudomonadati; Pseudomonadota; Gammaproteobacteria; Enterobacterales; Enterobacteriaceae. The record is from RNAcentral.
AAUCUGCGAUAAGCGUCGGUAAGGUGAUAUGAACCGUUAUAACCGGCGAUUUCCGAAUGGGGAAACCCAGUGUGUUUCGACACACUAUCAUUAACUGAAUCCAUAGGUUAAUGAGGCGAACCGGGGGAACUGAAACAUCUAAGUACCCCGAGGAAAAGAAAUCAACCGAGAUUCCCCCAGUAGCGGCGAGCGAACGGGGAGCAGCCCAGAGCCUGAAUCAGUGUGUGUGUUAGUGGAAGCGUCUGGAAAGGCGCGCGAUACAGGGUGACAGCCCCGUACACAAAAAUGCACAUGCUGUGAGCUCGAUGAGUAGGGCGGGACACGUGGUAUCCUGUCUGAAUAUGGGGGGACCAUCCUCCAAGGCUAAAUACUCCUGACUGACCGAUAGUGAACCAGUACCGUGAGGGAAAGGCGAAAAGAACCCCGGCGAGGGGAGUGAAAAAGAACCUGAAACCGUGUACGUACAAGCAGUGGGAGCACAGAGCAAUCUGUGUGACUGCGUACCUUUUGUAUAAUGGGUCAGCGACUUAUAUUCUGUAGCAAGGUUAACCGAAUAGGGGAGCCGAAGGGAAACCGAGUCUUAACUGGGCGUUAAGUUGCAGGGUAUAGACCCGAAACCCGGUGAUCUAGCCAUGGGCAGGUUGAAGGUUGGGUAACACUAACUGGAGGACCGAACCGACUAAUGUUGAAAAAUUAGCGGAUGACUUGUGGCUGGGGGUGAAAGGCCAAUCAAACCGGGAGAUAGCUGGUUCUCCCCGAAAGCUAUUUAGGUAGCGCCUCGUGAAUUCAUCUCCGGGGGUAGAGCACUGUUUCGGCAAGGGGGUCAUCCCGACUUACCAACCCGAUGCAAACUGCGAAUACCGGAGAAUGUUAUCACGGGAGACACACGGCGGGUGCUAACGUCCGUCGUGAAGAGGGAAACAACCCAGACCGCCAGCUAAGGUCCCAAAGUCAUGGUUAAGUGGGAAACGAUGUGGGAAGGCCCAGACAGCCAGGAUGUUGGCUUAGAAGCAGCCAUCAUUUAAAGAAAGCGUAAUAGCUCACUGGUCGAGUCGGCCUGCGCGGAAGAUGUAACGGGGCUAAACCAUGCACCGAAGCUGCGGCAGCGACGCUUAUGCGUUGUUGGGUAGGGGAGCGUUCUGUAAGCCUGCGAAGGUGUGCUGUGAGGCAUGCUGGAGGUAUCAGAAGUGCGAAUGCUGACAUAAGUAACGAUAAAGCGGGUGAAAAGCCCGCUCGCCGGAAGACCAAGGGUUCCUGUCCAACGUUAAUCGGGGCAGGGUGAGUCGACCCCUAAGGCGAGGCCGAAAGGCGUAGUCGAUGGGAAACAGGUUAAUAUUCCUGUACUUGGUGUUACUGCGAAGGGGGGACGGAGAAGGCUAUGUUGGCCGGGCGACGGUUGUCCCGGUUUAAGCGUGUAGGCUGGUUUUCCAGGCAAAUCCGGAAAAUCAAGGCUGAGGCGUGAUGACGAGGCACUACGGUGCUGAAGCAACAAAUGCCCUGCUUCCAGGAAAAGCCUCUAAGCAUCAGGUAACAUCAAAUCGUACCCCAAACCGACACAGGUGGUCAGGUAGAGAAUACCAAGGCGCUUGAGAGAACUCGGGUGAAGGAACUAGGCAAAAUGGUGCCGUAACUUCGGGAGAA